CAGUCCUGUUUUAACCCAACCCUAUUUUAACCCUAUUUUUAGUUAAGUGUUAGGGCUGGUACAGGGUUAGUCCAUUAAUUUUUUAUCUUGCAAAUCAACAACUUUUUUAUAUCAAUUUUUGUCUUUAAUUAAGUAUGAAAUUAGAAACCCAAAGCUUAAGUUCUUUUUAUUUUAUAACUGUAAAUGUUUAUCAUGAAAUUAAAACCCAAAGUUUA
This 215-nucleotide long non-coding RNA is filed under the name Brassica napus (rape). RNAcentral's name for it is "long non-coding RNA (BNAP_LNC008523)". Lineage: Eukaryota; Viridiplantae; Streptophyta; Magnoliopsida; Brassicales; Brassicaceae. The record is from RNAcentral.